UUUUUUCUCCCUGCGGCUGCUUCUUUUUCUCUCUGCAAAAAAAUGGUGAAAGCCAAACCUUUGAAUCCAUCAUCAUCUUCUACAACUCGUCUCUUGUUGUCAAUAGAAGAAUCCCUUUUGUCUAAAUUCGUUAAACUCUAAUUUGCUACUGAUGGCUUCUGACGAUAACAAUGAGAAGAGGGUGAAGAACUUGAAAGCAAAGACUCACGGCAGUUCACACGGCGGAAACGGCGGAACCAGCUAGAAACGAUCGGCUAACCAAAAACCCUAGAUUGAAAUGGAUUUGGGCUUUGUUAUUGUAAUUUGGAUUGGGCUUGGGAUUUUAUUAGGUUAUGCCUUUUAAUUUUGUCAAUUGGGUUGUUGUUAUUGGGUUUUUGCGAUGUAAAUAUUUUUUCUUACAAAAAGUAAACCGAACAAAAAACCGAAUAAAAAAAAAAUCGGUUCAUUUUCGGAACAGAAAUUUUUGUCAAUAA
Molecule: long non-coding RNA, 473 nt
Organism: Camelina sativa (false flax)
Lineage: Eukaryota; Viridiplantae; Streptophyta; Magnoliopsida; Brassicales; Brassicaceae
Source: RefSeq, a predicted model, not a curated record